RNAcentral lists this long non-coding RNA (1176 nucleotides) under Vigna radiata. RNAcentral describes it as "long non-coding RNA (VRAD_LNC003244)". The record is from RNAcentral. Lineage: Eukaryota; Viridiplantae; Streptophyta; Magnoliopsida; Fabales; Fabaceae.
UUUGUUAUAUUAAUACUCUAACCCUUUUUGCAUAUAUAGAAUUAACAUUCGUUGCUUUUUUAUAAUUUUAUUUCUACCUCCAAUUUAAAGAUCUAAUGGAAGUGAAAAGUGAGCGUAAAAGUCUUAUUUUUCAUAUCGCGUAUAAUAACGAUAUUCUUUUAUGUGAAACCAUCANUUAUAAAAGGUGGAUUUUUUUAAUACUUUUUUAUGCCUGCUUCCGGAAUAGCAGGUAUGAAUACCAACUUUUAUACCUGUUAUAGACAUAAUCAGUGUAAAAAGUUGAAAUUUUUAUACCGAUUUUAGAACCGGUGUGAAAAAUCAAAAAUUUUGUAUCCCCUCUCCCUUUAUACCCACUCGAAAACAAAUAUAAGAAGCCCUAUUUAACAUGGCCCAAUACAAAAUAGCCCCCAUUUAACAUGGUCCAAUACAAAAUAGUCCAUAGUAUAAAAGAAAAGCGCAGAGACUUAAUCUUGCAACUGCAUUUCCCAAUCCAAAAAUAAAAGAAUAGAAACAGCACAAUUUGUGUUUUGGUUACUCCUCCUCCUUCUCUCCGACAAGUCGCCUGGUCCGUUCUGGGACCUACCCAGCGUAGUCUUCAACGGAAUCGUGAAGCCCAUUCAAACCCUGGAAAUCAUAAAACGAUUAGGGCUUGGAAUUUUUCAUUUAUUUUCUGCAANNNNNUUUCACCUUUUAAUUCAUGUACUCUUCUUUUGUCUUUUUAUUUUGUUUCAAUAAAAUUUUCAGUAAUUGCGUAUUUUUAAUAAAAUUUACUUUAAGCCACUGACUGCUGCUGAGUAAUCUAUUAGCUGAGAAAAUAGCAUCGCAACCUGUGGGGAUAAGGCUUGCCUGAUCGGAACUCCACGUUGUCUUUGCCUCGUAACGAGUCUAUUGAAUGAUUAAUAACUUUUAUUCAUUUAGGUUGUUGAAUGUUAGUUUUUUUGUCCUUUCACAGCUGUAGGACAUUAUCUCCAUACGGUCGUUAAACUUGUCGAGAGAGCUGGAUUCAAACUGAAGGUAAAUUUUAAAUUUGAACAGAAUACUAUGGGAAUAUGAAAAGAGAUAAUUGGAAUCAUAGCUUUAGGAACAUUAUAUAAAAUACUGUGGUCUUGAGCUGUAAGAAUAUUACAUUAUAUUUAAUGAGGGAGAAGGCGGCAUGGUUGAUUGGUUUUGAGAGAA